AGGUUAUCAUUAUGUCGGUGCAACAGUAAUUGUGGUUUUUGCCUUUAAAAAAAAAAAAAAGUCAAAAACCGCAAUUACUUUUGCACCAGGCUAAUA
RNAcentral lists this microRNA precursor (96 nucleotides) under Chlorocebus sabaeus (green monkey). Its description in RNAcentral is "miRNA (ENSCSAG00000020927.1)". Lineage: Eukaryota; Metazoa; Chordata; Mammalia; Primates; Cercopithecidae. The record is from RNAcentral.